This 600-nucleotide ribosomal RNA is filed under the name uncultured soil bacterium. RNAcentral's name for it is "bacterial SSU rRNA". It matches the Rfam family "Bacterial small subunit ribosomal RNA", at positions 8 to 594 of the family's 1533-position model. The record is from RNAcentral.
AGAGUUUGAUCCUGGCUCAGGACGAACGCUGGCGGCGCGCUUAACACAUGCAAGUCGAACGGGUUCAGGGCUUCGGCUCUGGAUUAGUGGCGAACGGGUGCGUAACACGUGAGCAACCUGCCCCUGUAUGGGGGAUAACCCUGGGAAACCGGGGCUAAUACCGCAUGCGCUCUUGAGGCUACCUGGCCUUUUGAGGAAAGCCCCUUUCGGGGGGUGUGCAGGGAGGGGCUCGCGGCGUAUCAGCUAGUUGGUGGGGUAACGGCUCACCAAGGCGACGACGCGUAGCCGGUCUGAGAGGACGACUGGCCACAUUGGGACUGAGAUACGGCCCAGACUCCUACGGGAGGCAGCAGUGGGGAAUCUUGCGCAAUGGGCGAAAGCCUGACGCAGCGACGCCGCGUGGGGGAGGAAGCUUUUCGGAGUGUAAACCCCUGUCAGGAGGGAAGAACGGUCACAGGAGGAAAUGCUUGUGAUUUGACGGUACCUCCAGAGGAAGCACCGGCUAACUCUGUGCCAGCAGCCGCGGUAAUACAGAGGGUGCGAGCGUUGUUCGGAAUUACUGGGCGUAAAGCGCGCGUAGGCGGCUUCUUAAGUCUUACC